AUUGAACGCUGGCGGCAGGCCUAACACAUGCAAGUCGAGCGGAUGAAGGGAGCUUGCUCCUGGAUUCAGCGGCGGACGGGUGAGUAAUGCCUAGGAAUCUGCCUGUUAGUGGGGGCUAACGUCCGGAAACGGGGGCUAUUACGGCAUACGUCCUGAGGAGGAAAGUGGGGGAUCUUCGGACCUCACGCUAUCAGAUGAGCCUAGGUCGGAUUAGCUAGUUGGUGGGGUAAAGGCCUACCAAGGCGACGAUCCGUAACUGGUCUGAGAGGAUGAUCAGUCACACUGGAACUGAGACACGGUCCAGACUCCUACGGGAGGCAGCAGUGGGGAAUAUUGGACAAUGGGCGAAAGCCUGAUCCAGCCAUGCCGCGUGUGUGAAGAAGGUCUUCGGAUUGUAAAGCACUUUAAGUUGGGAGGAAGGGCAGUAAGUUAAUACCCUGCUGUUUUGACGUUACCAACAGAAUAAGCACCGGCUAACUUCGUG
This 484-nucleotide ribosomal RNA is filed under the name uncultured bacterium. Its description in RNAcentral is "partial 16S ribosomal RNA". It matches the Rfam family "Bacterial small subunit ribosomal RNA", at positions 30 to 507 of the family's 1533-position model. The record is from RNAcentral.